CCUACGGGAGGCAGCAGUGAGGAAUAUUGGUCAAUGGGCUUACGCCUGAACCAGCCAAGUCGCGUGAGGGAAGACUGCCCUAUGGGUUGUAAACCUCUUUUGUCAGGGAGCAAUUGGCGCUACGUGUAGCGUUAUCGAGAGUACCUGAAGAAAAAGCAUCGGCUAACUCCGUGCCAGCAGCCGCGGUAAUACGGAGGAUGCGAGCGUUAUCCGGAUUUAUUGGGGUUAAAGGGUGCGUAGGCGGAAUGCCAAGUCAGCGGUAAAAUCGCGGGGCUCAACCUCGCUCCGCCGGUGAAACUGGCGGUCUUGAGUGGGCGAGAAGUAUGCGGAAUGCGUGGUGUAGCGGUGAAAUGCAUAGAUAUCACGCAGAACUCCGAUUGCGAAGGCAGCAUACCGGCGCCCAACUGACGCUGAAGCACGAAAGCGUGGGUAUCGAACAGGAUUAGAUACCCUAGUAGUC
Molecule: ribosomal RNA, 460 nt
Filed under: uncultured bacterium
Lineage: Bacteria
Description: partial 16S ribosomal RNA
Rfam family: Bacterial small subunit ribosomal RNA
Source: RNAcentral